CCUACGGGGGGCAGCAGUCGAGAAUCUUCGGCAAUGGGCGCAAGCCUGACCGAGCGACGCCGCGUGCGGGAUGAAGGCCUUCGGGUUGUAAACCGCUGUCGAGGGGGAUAAAGUGCAAGUGGGUACUCCCAUUUGUUUGAUAGAUCCCUGGAGGAAGCAUGGGCUAAGUUCGUGCCAGCAGCCGCGGUAAGACGAACCAUGCAAACGUUAUUCGGAUUCACUGGGCUUAAAGGGUGCGUAGGUCGUGUGUGAAAGCCCUCAGCCCAACUGAGGAAUUGCGCUUGAUACUGCAUGACUUGAGAAUGAUAGAGGUGGGUGGAACUGAUGGUGGAGCGGUGAAAUGCGUUGAUAUCAUCAGGAACACCAGUGGCGAAGGCGACCCACUGGGUCAUUUCUGACGCUGAGGUACGAAAGCUAGGGUAGCGAACGGGAUUAGAUACCCCAGUAGUC
Molecule: ribosomal RNA, 450 nt
Filed under: uncultured bacterium
Lineage: Bacteria
Description: partial 16S ribosomal RNA
Rfam family: Bacterial small subunit ribosomal RNA
Source: RNAcentral